UACGUAGGGCGCGAGCGUUGUCCGGAAUUAUUGGGCGUAAAGAGCGUGUAGGCGGCCAGGUAGGUCCGCUGUGAAAACUCGAGGCUCAACCUCGAGAUGUCGGCGGAAACCAUCUGGCUAGAGUCCGGAAGAGGAGAGUGGAAUUCCUGGUGUAGCGGUGAAAUGCGCAGAUAUCAGGAAGAACACCCGUGGCGAAGGCGGCUCUCUGGGACGGUACUGACGCUGAGACGCGAAAGCGUGGGGAGCGAACAGG
RNAcentral lists this ribosomal RNA (253 nucleotides) under uncultured bacterium. RNAcentral's name for it is "partial 16S ribosomal RNA". It matches the Rfam family "Bacterial small subunit ribosomal RNA", at positions 524 to 776 of the family's 1533-position model. The record is from RNAcentral.